AAAUUAAACCCUCUUUUUAAUAAUUGUAGUAUGGAUAAGUAGGGAUCAUUCUAGGCCGGGGAUUAGAAGGGACUGCUAAUCUACUCAAAUUAGACUCAAUUACACUUAACUAGACUUUAAAAACACUAAACUAGACUCUUAUGACUCAAACUACUCCAAACUACACAAAACAAACAAAUUGACUCAAAACUAACACUAAGGAUGACUUUGGACGAAGUUUGAACUAAAAAGACUCAAAACAUUAAAAAGACACCAAUUGGACAUAUUCUAACCUAAAAACACGAAAUAGAAAAUGGGGGUUGGUUUUUGAGGAAUUUAAAACUUAAACUAAAUACUUGCAGACACAAACUAAAGAUAAUAUGAAAUUGGACGUUUUUAAGAGGUGAAUGGCUAGCUAGAGGGUCCUUCUCCACACAUGACACAUACGCAUACGAAUCGAUUUCCAGUUAUUCUUCCUAUAAACCAUGAAUGACACUGGCCCAGAUUAACCGUAAAUAACACUAAUUAACCCUUAGAUUUUCCUAAGUUCAUUGAAUUGGACUCAGCGUCGCAACCAAAUUAUUCUUAUCAAGUUCCCUACACGAACAACAUGAUAGAGAUACAUAUCAAAGAUCAUUAAGUUCUAUGAAAAUCAUAAGCAUUGACAAGGUAUUCGUAACUAUGAACAGCAUGAUACUCAUGCCAGGAAUUCACUUAACACGAUCAUGACCAGUGACCUCCACUACUAUUAAAUAUAAGUUCAUAACUAUAAGGUGAAACUCCCUUAUAUUUUAGCAUCAAAUUCAUGCAUGCAAACUAAGUAUGCAUCCUUAAUCAACAUACAAGAACAAGUUCUGAAUUAAACAGUUAAGCAAAUUGCAUUCACGAUUCAUGAAAUUAUAACUGGAAGUAAUCAAUCCAUAUGCAAUAUAUGUUCAUGGCUUUGAAUUCUCCUCUAGCGAAAACGAGUUUAGUUCCUCAUGUUCUCACUUAAACAAAGAUAACUUAAAUUAAAUAUUGAAAAUAAAAGAUAGAAAGCACCUAAGAAUGCUCCAGCAAUCCAAGGGUCUUGAAUGGCAAGGCACGGCAAAGGGGCUCCUAUCCGUUCUCCCUUGCAAAGCUGUGGCACAAUAGGGAUUUCUGAGUAUGAUGGAUGUAUGGUGCGAAUUUGUGGUGCGAGAUGGUUAAUUAUGAGUGCUGUAGCAUAAUAUAUUUAUAGCGAGAGGGGAAGGCACAACAUAGGCUGAGAAGGAAGGGAAUUAGGACUCCAAAUUAGCAAGGAAAGAGGACACUUCUCAUCAAACAGAUUCCAGAGAGGAAAAGAAUUAAUGUGUUUAGAUGGAUUCAGACUCCUAAAUUCAGAUGGGAAGGAUUUAGAAUAGGAUAAGGACUCCUUUUGUAGCUGGAGAAAAGUUUAGAUAAUGUUGGAUUAAAUAGGAUAAUGUUUGGAUAAUAUGGGAUAAGAUAAGAUAAGGUUAGUUUGGAUAAGAUAAGGUUGGAUAAUGUUUUGGAUAAUGUUCCUUCUUUUUGGCUGAUUCCUUAUCUUCUUUAUCUUGAAUUCAUUUUCUUUAUCUCUUCAGCAUAUUCCUAGACUCUUUGAACUUCAAAAAUGUCCAUCCACCUUGCUCCAUUCAUAUGCUAUCCAUUCUUGUCCCAAAACUGCUCCAAAUUGCACUUUCCUGACAACUUUGUCAUUUGGACCUACAAACACACGAAAAUAGCUUAAAUCACUAUAAUAAAUAGAAACUAGCUAUGAAAAUGCAAGAAAACAAGCUAACUAAGUCGCAUAAAUAUGCUCCUAUCACCCCUACGUGCGAUAGUGAAGGAUUUGGAAAUUGCAUCUUCUUUAUUCAUUUUUUUUUUUUUUAUUUUUUUUUUUGUUUGAAACUUUUUAAUUUUUUUUCUUGUUUUGCAAUUCCAGCACAUGUUACAUCGGUACACGCCGCAUUCUUGAUCUAGAGCUCAAUCUAUCUUUGUCUUCAUCACUUUGGUAUUCUCCAAACUAUAAGGUAUGGAUGUAAUGGGCUAAGAUGGGUAGAGUUUGGUGAAGGUGAUGAAAGAAUCAGGUUAAAAGUGUUUGGAUGCAAAAAAGAUGAAUGGAACACACAAAGGCCAUUUGGUGGUUAAAACAUGCAUAGCCUAACAUCGUCUCAACGAGUUUAUUCAUAAGUGAUAAUAAACACAUGGUAUCUGCAAUAGAGAAUUAUGUUGGAAAUAUGCCCUGAAAGUCAAUCUUUGGAAGAAACCUUUCAGGACAAAUGAAUCAAUGUAUGGAUGACUCUUAUACAUCAAAUGGCAAAGAUACUAAUUAGGACUAUCUCAAUAAACGAUAUAU
This 2314-nucleotide long non-coding RNA is filed under the name Malus domestica (apple). Its description in RNAcentral is "long non-coding RNA (MDOM_LNC019273)". The record is from RNAcentral. Lineage: Eukaryota; Viridiplantae; Streptophyta; Magnoliopsida; Rosales; Rosaceae.